RNAcentral lists this ribosomal RNA (498 nucleotides) under uncultured bacterium. Its description in RNAcentral is "partial 16S ribosomal RNA". It matches the Rfam family "Bacterial small subunit ribosomal RNA", at positions 28 to 507 of the family's 1533-position model. The record is from RNAcentral.
GACGAACGCUGGCGGCGUGCCUAAUACAUGCAAGUCGAGCGGACGGAUGGGAGCUUGCUCCCAGACCGUCAGCGGCGGACGGGUGAGUAACACGUGGGCAACCUGCCUGUAAGACUGGGAUAACUCCGGGAAACCGGGGCUAAUACCGGAUAACUCUUUCCCUCACAUGAGGGAAAGCUGAAAGAUGGCAUCUCGCUAUCACUUACAGAUGGGCCCGCGGCGCAUUAGCUAGUUGGUGAGGUAACGGCUCACCAAGGCGACGAUGCGUAGCCGACCUGAGAGCGUGAUCGGCCACACUGGGACUGAGACACGGCCGAGACUCCUACGGGAGGCAGCAGUAGGGAAUCUUCCGCAAUGGACGAAAGUCUGACGGAGCAACGCCGCGUGGGUGAUGAAGGUUUUCGGAUCGUAAAACUCUGUUGUCAGGGAAGAACAAGUACCGGAGUAACUGCCGGUACCUUGACGGUACCUGACCAGAAAGCCACGGCUAACUACGUG